RNAcentral lists this ribosomal RNA (760 nucleotides) under uncultured bacterium. RNAcentral describes it as "bacterial SSU rRNA". It matches the Rfam family "Bacterial small subunit ribosomal RNA", at positions 56 to 805 of the family's 1533-position model. The record is from RNAcentral.
UGCAGUCGAGCGGUAACAGAGAGUAGCUUGCUACUUUGCUGACGAGCGGCGGACGGGUGAGUAAUGCUUGGGAACUUGCCUUUGGGUGGGGGAUAACCACGGGAAACUGUGGCUAAUACCGCAUAAUGUCUACGGACCAAAGUGUGGGAUCUUCGGACCACACGCCCAGAGAUAGGCCCAAGUGAGAUUAGCUAGUUGGUGAGGUAAUGGCUCACCAAGGCAACGAUCUCUAGCUGUUCUGAGAGGAUGAUCAGCCACACUGGGACUGAGACACGGCCCAGACUCCUACGGGAGGCAGCAGUGGGGAAUAUUGCACAAUGGGCGCAAGCCUGAUGCAGCCAUGCCGCGUGUGUGAAGAAGGCCUUCGGGUUGUAAAGCACUUUCAGUGGUGAGGAAGGGUGUGUUGUUAAUAGCAACAUACAUUGACGUUAGCCACAGAAGAAGCACCGGCUAACUCCGUGCCAGCAGCCGCGGUAAUACGGAGGGUGCGAGCGUUAAUCGGAAUUACUGGGCGUAAAGCGUACGUAGGCGGCCUGUUAAGCAAGAUGUGAAAUCCCCGGGCUCAACCUGGGAAUGGCAUUUUGAACUGGCAGGCUCGAGUUCUGAAGAGGGUGGUAGAAUUUCCAGUGUAGCGGUGAAAUGCGUAGAUAUUGGAAGGAAUACCGGUGGGCGAAUGCCGGCCACCUGGUCAGAAACUGACGCUGAGUACGAAAGCGGUGGGGAGCAAACAGAUUAGAUACCCUGGUAGUCCACGCCGUAA